CCAUGCAAGUCGAACGAUGAAGCCCAGCUUGCUGGGUGGAUUAGUGGCGAACGGGUGAGUAACACGUGAGUAACCUGCCCUUGACUCUGGGAUAAGCGCUGGAAACGGCGUCUAAUACCGGAUAUGACAACCGACGGCAUCGUCUGGUUGUGGAAAGAAUUUUGGUCAAGGAUGGACUCGCGGCCUAUCAGCUUGUUGGUGAGGUAAUGGCUCACCAAGGCGACGACGGGUAGCCGGCCUGAGAGGGUGACCGGCCACACUGGGACUGAGACACGGCCCAGACUCCUACGGGAGGCAGCAGUGGGGAAUAUUGCACAAUGGGCGAAAGCCUGAUGCAGCAACGCCGCGUGAGGGACGACGGCCUUCGGGUUGUAAACCUCUUUUAGCAGGGAAGAAGCGAAAGUGACGGUACCUGCAGAAAAAGCACCGGCUAACUACGUGCCAGCAGCCGCGGUAAUACGUAGGGUGCAAGCGUUGUCCGGAAUUAUUGGGCGUAAAGAGCUCGUAGGCGGUUUGUCGCGUCUGCUGUGAAAUCCCGAGGCUCAACCUCGGGUCUGCAGUGGGUACGGGCAGACUAGAGUGCGGUAGGGGAGAUUGGAAUUCCUGGUGUAGCGGUGGAAUGCGCAGAUAUCAGGAGGAACACCGAUGGCGAAGGCAGAUCUCUGGGCCGUAACUGACGCUGAGGAGCGAAAGGGUGGGGAGCAAACAGGCUUAGAUACCCUGGUAGUCCAC
Molecule: ribosomal RNA, 732 nt
Filed under: Okibacterium sp. sed040
Lineage: Bacteria; Bacillati; Actinomycetota; Actinomycetes; Micrococcales; Microbacteriaceae
Description: bacterial SSU rRNA
Rfam family: Bacterial small subunit ribosomal RNA
Source: RNAcentral